This 526-nucleotide ribosomal RNA is filed under the name uncultured Veillonella sp. RNAcentral describes it as "bacterial SSU rRNA". It matches the Rfam family "Bacterial small subunit ribosomal RNA", at positions 30 to 525 of the family's 1533-position model. The record is from RNAcentral. Lineage: Bacteria; Bacillati; Bacillota; Negativicutes; Veillonellales; Veillonellaceae.
CGAACGCUGGCGGCGUGCUUAACACAUGCAAGUCGAACGAAGAGCGAUGGAAGCUUGCUUCUAUCAAUCUUAGUGGCGAACGGGUGAGUAACGCGUAAUCAACCUGCCCUUCAGAGGGGGACAACAGUUGGAAACGACUGCUAAUACCGCAUACGAUCCAAUCUCGGCAUCGAGGAUGGAUGAAAGGUGGCCUCUAUUUAUAAGCUAUCACUGAAGGAGGGGAUUGCGUCUGAUUAGCUAGUUGGAGGGGUAACGGCCCACCAAGGCGAUGAUCAGUAGCCGGUCUGAGAGGAUGAACGGCCACAUUGGGACUGAGACACGGCCCAGACUCCUACGGGAGGCAGCAGUGGGGAAUCUUCCGCAAUGGACGAAAGUCUGACGGAGCAACGCCGCGUGAGUGAUGACGGCCUUCGGGUUGUAAAGCUCUGUUAAUCGGGACGAAAGGCCUUCUUGCGAAUAGUUAGAAGGAUUGACGGUACCGGAAUAGAAAGCCACGGCUAACUACGUGCCAGCAGCCGCGGUAAUA